RNAcentral lists this unclassified non-coding RNA (225 nucleotides) under Hevea brasiliensis (rubber tree). Lineage: Eukaryota; Viridiplantae; Streptophyta; Magnoliopsida; Malpighiales; Euphorbiaceae. The record is from RNAcentral.
AUUCACAGGAAGAGGAUGAACAGGAUGAUCACUUGAAGAAUGGCAAACGAGAUUUGCCGAGAUCUUCAAAACAUUGGUUUGCUAGCAAAGGAAAGCUGGAGUCAAAUCCUAAGAUGUACCCUGUAACAACUGCGUGGGUCCGGAGACAAAUCUUAACACCUUCCAAACACCAGUCGGAGGAGAGAAAGGAUGUUCAGGUGGUCUUCUCAAGGAGGAGGAAGAAUG